Molecule: ribosomal RNA, 497 nt
Filed under: uncultured bacterium
Lineage: Bacteria
Description: partial 16S ribosomal RNA
Rfam family: Bacterial small subunit ribosomal RNA
Source: RNAcentral
GAUGAACGCUGGCGGCGUGCCUAAUACAUGCAAGUCGAGCGAACGGACGAGAAGCUUGCUUCUCUUCUGUUAGCGGCGGACGGGUGAGUAACACGUGGAUAACCUACCUAUAAGACUGGGAUACAUUCGGGAAACCCGAGCUAUUACCCGGCAAUAUUUUUAACCGCAUGGUUCAAAAUUGAUAGACGGUCUUGCUGUCAAUUAUACAUGUAUCCGCGCUGCAUUAGCUAGUUGGUAAGGUAAAGGCUUACCAAGCCAACGACACAUAGCCGAACUAGGAGAGUGAUUGACCACACUGGAACGAAACACCGGUCCAACCUCCUACGGUAGGCGGCGGUAGGGAAGCUUCCGCAAGGCACGAAAGCCGACCGCGGCAACGCGCGUUGAGGGUGGAGGGUCUUGGGAUCGUAAUACUCUGUUAUUAGGGAAGAACAUAUGUGUAAGUAUCUGUGCACAGCUUGACGGUACCCAAACAGAAAGCCACGGCUAACUACGUG